GACGAACGCUGGCGGCGUGCUUAAUACAUGCAAGUCGAACGGAAAGGCGCUGCCUUUGUGGGGUGCUCGAGUGGCGAACGGGUGAGUAAAACGUGAGUAACCUGCCCUUGACUUUGGGAUAAAUUCAGGAAACUGGGGCUAAUACCGGAUAGGAGCUCCUGCUGCAUGGUGGGGGUGGGAAAGUUUGGGCGGUUGGGGAUGGACUCGCGGGUUAUCAGCUUGUUGGUGGGGUAGUGGCUUACAAAGGCUUUGACGGGUAGCCGGCCUGAGAGGGUGGCCGGCCACAUUGGGCCUGAGAGACGGCCCAGACGCCAACGGGAGGCAGCAGUGGGGAAUAUUGCACAGUGGGCGGACGCCUGAUGCAGCAACGCCGCGUGCGGGAUGACGGCCUUCGGGUUGUAAACCGCUUUCGCCUGUGACGAAGCGUGCGUGACGGUAAUGGGUAAAGAAGCACCGGCUAACUACGUG
RNAcentral lists this ribosomal RNA (468 nucleotides) under uncultured bacterium. RNAcentral describes it as "partial 16S ribosomal RNA". It matches the Rfam family "Bacterial small subunit ribosomal RNA", at positions 28 to 507 of the family's 1533-position model. The record is from RNAcentral.